CGGGCUCCGCAUCCCCUCUCCGUCUGAGAUUCCCCGGUUGAGAGAGAUGGGGCUCACCUUCACCAAGCUGUUCAGCCGGUUGUUCGCGAAGAAGGAGAUGCGGAUUCUGAUGGUCGGUCUCGAUGCGGCUGGUAAGACGACGAUCCUGUAUAAGCUGAAGCUGGGCGAGAUCGUCACCACGAUCCCUACCAUCGGAUUCAAUGUGGAGACUGUCGAGUACAAGAACAUUAGCUUUACUGUUUGGGAUGUUGGGGGUCAGGAUAAGAUCAGACCUCUGUGGAGGCACUACUUCCAGAACACACAGGGACUGAUAUUCGUCGUUGACAGCAAUGAUAGAGAUCGUGUGGUCGAGGCAAGAGAUGAGCUUCACAGGAUGCUAAAUGAGGAUGAACUGCGGGAUGCUGUGUUACUUGUGUUUGCAAACAAACAAGAUCUGCCAAAUGCAAUGAAUGCUGCUG
Molecule: unclassified non-coding RNA, 458 nt
Filed under: Hevea brasiliensis (rubber tree)
Lineage: Eukaryota; Viridiplantae; Streptophyta; Magnoliopsida; Malpighiales; Euphorbiaceae
Source: RNAcentral